This 465-nucleotide ribosomal RNA is filed under the name uncultured bacterium. Its description in RNAcentral is "partial 16S ribosomal RNA". It matches the Rfam family "Bacterial small subunit ribosomal RNA", at positions 338 to 795 of the family's 1533-position model. The record is from RNAcentral.
CCUACGGGUGGCUGCAGUGGGGAAUAUUGCGCAAUGGGCGAAAGCCUGACGCAGCGACGCCGCGUGAGGGAUGAAGGUCUUCGGAGCGGAAACCUCUGUCAACAGGGAAGAACGGUCACUGUGCUAAUCAGCAGUGAAUUGACGGUACCUGCAAAGGAAGCACCGGCUAACGCCGUGCCAGCAGCCGCGGUAAUACGGAGGGUGCGAGCGUUAAUCGGAAUUACUGGGCGUAAAGCGCUCGUAGGCGGUAGGUCAAGUCACGGGUGAAAUCCCCGCGCUCAACGUGGGAACUGCCUUUGAACCUGGCAAACUGGAGUGUGUGAGAGGCUAGUGGAAUUCCAGGUGUAGGCGUGAAAUCCGUAGAUAUCUGGAGGAACAUCAGUGGCGAAGGCGACUCUCUGGCACAUAACUGACGCUGAGGAGCGAAAGCGUGGGUAGCAAACAGGAUUAGAUACCCGGGUAGUC